AUACUUACCUGGCAGGGGAGAUACCUUGAUCACUCAGGAGGUUUUCCCAGGACGAGGCUAUCCCAUUGCACCUCGGGUGUGCUGACGCCUGCGAUGUCCCCAAAUGCGGGAUACUCGACUGCAAAAUUUGUGGUAGUGGGGGACUGCGUUCGCGCUCUCCCCUG
Molecule: small nuclear RNA, 164 nt
Organism: Leucoraja erinaceus (little skate)
Lineage: Eukaryota; Metazoa; Chordata; Chondrichthyes; Rajiformes; Rajidae
Product: U1 spliceosomal RNA
Exons: 1
Source: RefSeq, a predicted model, not a curated record